RNAcentral lists this ribosomal RNA (896 nucleotides) under Virgibacillus sp. Its description in RNAcentral is "bacterial SSU rRNA". It matches the Rfam family "Bacterial small subunit ribosomal RNA", at positions 39 to 921 of the family's 1533-position model. The record is from RNAcentral. Lineage: Bacteria; Bacillati; Bacillota; Bacilli; Caryophanales; Bacillaceae.
GUCGAGCGCGGGAAGCAGGCAGAUCCUCUUCGGAGGUGACGCUUGUGGAACGAGCGGCGGACGGGUGAGUAACACGUGGGCAACCUGCCUGUAAGAUUGGGAUAACCCCGGGAAACCGGGGCUAAUACCGGAUAAUACUUUUCGUUGCAUAACGAGAAGUUGAAAGGCGGCUUUUAGCUGUCACUUACAGAUGGGCCCGCGGCGCAUUAGCUAGUUGGUAAGGUAACGGCUUACCAAGGCGACGAUGCGUAGCCGACCUGAGAGGGUGAUCGGCCACACUGGGACUGAGACACGGCCCAGACUCCUACGGGAGGCAGCAGUAGGGAAUCUUCCGCAAUGGACGAAAGUCUGACGGAGCAACGCCGCGUGAGUGAUGAAGGUUUUCGGAUCGUAAAACUCUGUUGUCAGGGAAGAACAAGUGCCGUUCAAAUAGGGCGGCACCUUGACGGUACCUGACCAGAAAGCCCCGGCUAACUACGUGCCAGCAGCCGCGGUAAUACGUAGGGGGCAAGCGUUGUCCGGAAUUAUUGGGCGUAAAGCGCGCGCAGGCGGUCCUUUAAGUCUGAUGUGAAAGCCCACGGCUUAACCGUGGAGGGCCAUUGGAAACUGGAGGACUUGAGUACAGAAGAGGAGAGUGGAAUUCCACGUGUAGCGGUGAAAUGCGUAGAGAUGUGGAGGAACACCAGUGGCGAAGGCGACUCUCUGGUCUGUAACUGACGCUGAGGUGCGAAAGCGUGGGGAGCGAACAGGAUUAGAUACCCUGGUAGUCCACGCCGUAAACGAUGAGUGCUAGGUGUUAGGGGGUUUCCGCCCCUUAGUGCUGAAGUUAACGCAUUAAGCACUCCGCCUGGGGAGUACGGCCGCAAGGCUGAAACUCAAAAGAAUUGACGGGGGCC